GAUGAAGAACGCAGCGAAAUGCGAUAAGUAAUGUGAAUUGCAGAAUUCAGUGAAUCAUCGAAUCUUUGAACGCACAUUGCGCCCGCCAGUAUUCUGGCGGGCAUGCCUGUUCGAGCGUCAUUUCAACCAUCAAGCCCCAGGCUUGUGUUGGGGACCUGCGGCUGCCGCAGGCCCUGAAAACCAGUGGCGGGCUCGCUGUCACACCGGGCGUAGUAGAUUUUAUCUCGCUCAGGGCGUGCUGCGGGUUCCGGCCGUAAAAAGCCUUAUUUACCCAAGGUUGACCUCGGAUCAGGUAGGAAGACCCGCUGAACUUAAGCAUAUCAAUAAGCGGAGGA
RNAcentral lists this unclassified non-coding RNA (335 nucleotides) under soil metagenome. RNAcentral's name for it is "partial contains 5.8S ribosomal RNA, internal transcribed spacer 2, and large subunit ribosomal RNA". The stretch from base 1 to 120 matches the Rfam family "5.8S ribosomal RNA", at positions 35 to 154 of the family's 154-position model. The record is from RNAcentral.